AAUUUAUAUCACCUGUGGCUCUGGCCCAUGGCUAUAUAUAUGAGAAAGCACUUCUGACUUUUUUUUUUUUUUCUUCUUUUCCUUGUUUGAAUGCUCCUGUUAAGGGAGAGAAGGAGACCUAGUAGGUUACUGGUGACCACUAUUCCAAAAGAAGCAAGGAUCUGAUUUUUAAAAUCAUCAUGAGUGCUAACAGCCCUGAAUGUCAAUGUGUUUCUUUGCAAGCACAUGGUGCUGCCCUUCAGAAGGAGCCAAGGCAUGCACGCAACUGCAAUGUCUCAUUGCCUGGAUGGCAGAAAAGGCUCUGCACUUGUCAGGGUGUCUCAGUGACAAGGUAGAGCUGUGCAGUGAUGGUGGCACCGUGUUUGUGAGCGAGGGGAGGCUGCUGCUGUGCACGUCCAGCCCUCCUGGCCAUGCUGAGGGGGAACCAAACUGCUGGGAAUCCAGCAGCAAACAAAAGCAGGAAGUUUGCAAAUGUCUCCUUCAAUGAAAGGAUGCAACAAUUUGCUUUCUUUAGUAUUAAAAGGAGGAGAAUGAAUGGCCUAAUUUUUGUUUUGGGAUGAAGAGGUAAUAACAAAGAACAGGCCAUCCACUGUUUAAUUCUCUGUAGCUGUUGGUCACAAAAAAAUUGGCUGAUAUUUAGAGGAAGGUAAGAUUAGGCUGGAUAUUAGGGCAGAAUUUCUGGCUGCUGGGCUGGUGAAACAUGGAAUAGAUUGUCUGGGUGUGAGUAGAAAUCUCCUUGAUGGAAAUUUGGAAAACGAAGUCGGAUCUCUGCUGUUUGGAGACAGGUCCAUCCAGCUCUGGGGCUGGGCUGGUGCUCUGCUCUCAUCUGUCUGCUCAUGGGGCUCUGUCCUAGGGCAAGGCCAGGCAAACACAGCAGAGAGACCUUUCUGUGACACAGCAGGAGUGGAUCUGACCCUCAGUGUGCAAGACACAUUUCUGGCUGGGAGUUAAGGCAUGGCUGGAGAAUGGUGUCUGUCUGCCCUGCUCUACAGAGCUAAUCCAUCUUCUGCUGAAGCUACUUUUAUUAGAACUUUGUGUUAUGAAUUUACACUACCAUGUUUAUCUUACUGUUCUUAAACAAACCAAAGAUCUAGCAGGGCUUUGGCACCACCUUCCUCAAUCCUAAAUGUUUUAAUGUAAAAUAUCACUGUGGUGCCUCAGAGUGCUUGUAGUUCAGUGUCUCACAUCACUAGCCUUUGCAUGAUCAGUGCAUCCCUCAGAGCUCUGCAACCAGAAAUUCCCUCUCCUGUCUUCUGGUAGUUGCCAUGGUGGCAAAAGUAGAAAUGGAAAAGAAAAUGAGAAAGGGAAAUAAAGUUUCUAGAGAAUAUUGCAUAGCCUCUUAGUCUCAUUAUUUUGAUUUCCAUUGAAAUAUAUGUUGCUUAAAUUAAAAAAAAAAAAAAACAACAAGGUAUGAAAUAUAGAAACAUUCCUGUGGGUGUUAAAAUGUAUUUUAUGAUAUACCUGCAGAUUCACAGAGAAAUUUUUUGU
Molecule: long non-coding RNA, 1488 nt
Organism: Zonotrichia leucophrys gambelii
Lineage: Eukaryota; Metazoa; Chordata; Aves; Passeriformes; Passerellidae
Exons: 3
Source: RefSeq, a predicted model, not a curated record